RNAcentral lists this ribosomal RNA (228 nucleotides) under uncultured bacterium. Its description in RNAcentral is "partial 16S ribosomal RNA". It matches the Rfam family "Bacterial small subunit ribosomal RNA", at positions 107 to 334 of the family's 1533-position model. The record is from RNAcentral.
UGAGUAACACGUAUCCAACCUGCCGUCUACUCUUGGCCAGCCUUCUGAAAGGAAGAUUAAUCCAGGAUGGCAUCAUGAGUUCACAUGUCCGCAUGAUUAAAGGUAUUUUCCGGUAGACGAUGGGGAUGCGUUCCAUUAGAUAGUAGGCGGGGUAACGGCCCACCUAGUCAACGAUGGAUAGGGGUUCUGAGAGGAAGGUCCCCACAUUGGAACUGAGACACGGUCCAA